AAUCAACGCUGGCGGCGUGCCUAACACAUGCAAGUCGAACGAGAAAGGGGACUUCGGUCCCUGAGUACAGUGGCGCGCGGGUGAGUAACACGUGACUUAUCUACCCUCGAGUGGGGAAUAACUUCGGGGAAACCGAGGCUAAUACCGCAUAAUACCCACGGGUCAAAAGGAGCAAUUCGCUUGAGGAGGAGGUCGCGGCCGAUAGUAGUUGCGGGGUAAUGGCCCCACCAAGACGGUGAUCGGUAUCCGGCCUGAGAGGGCGCACGGACACACUGGAACUGAAACACGGUCCAGACUCCUACGGGAGGCAGCAGUGGGGAAUUUUGCGCAAUGGGGGAAACCCUGACGCAGCAACGCCGCGUGGAGGGUGAAGUCUCUUGGGACGUAAACUCCUUUCGAUCGGGACGAUUAUGACGGUACCCCGCAGAAUAAGCACCGGCUAACUACGUG
Molecule: ribosomal RNA, 450 nt
Filed under: uncultured bacterium
Lineage: Bacteria
Description: bacterial SSU rRNA
Rfam family: Bacterial small subunit ribosomal RNA
Source: RNAcentral